This 292-nucleotide ribosomal RNA is filed under the name uncultured bacterium. Its description in RNAcentral is "partial 16S ribosomal RNA". It matches the Rfam family "Bacterial small subunit ribosomal RNA", at positions 505 to 796 of the family's 1533-position model. The record is from RNAcentral.
GUGCCAGCAGCCGCGGUAAUACGGAGGGUGCAAGCGUUGCUCGGAAUCACUGGGCGUAAAGCGACCGCAGGCGGCCUGACAAGUCGGAUGUGAAAGCCCUGGGCUCAACUCAGGAAUUGCAUUCGAAACUGGUAGGCUCGAGUACGGGAGAGGGGGGUGGAAUUCCUGGUGUAGGGGUGAAAUUCGUUGAUAUCAGGAGGAACACCGGCGGCGAAGGCGGCCCCCUGGCCCGCAACUGACGCUCAUGGUCGAAAGCGUGGGGAGCAAACAGGAUUAGAUACCCUGGUAGUCC